This 511-nucleotide ribosomal RNA is filed under the name uncultured bacterium. RNAcentral describes it as "partial 16S ribosomal RNA". It matches the Rfam family "Bacterial small subunit ribosomal RNA", at positions 28 to 506 of the family's 1533-position model. The record is from RNAcentral.
GAUGAACGCUGGCGGCGUGCCUAAUACAUGCAAGUCGAACGAAACUUCUUUAUCACCGAGUGCUUGCACUCACCGAUAAAGAGUUGAGUGGCGAACGGGUGAGUAACACGUGGGCAACCUGCCCAAAAGAGGGGGAUAACACUUGGAAACAGGUGCUGAUACCGCAUAACCAUAGUUACCGCAUGGUAACUAUGUAAAAGGUGGCUAUACUACCGCUUUUGGAUGGGCCCGCGGCGCAUUAGCUAGUUGGUAGGGUAAAGGCUUACCAAGGCAAUGAUGCGUAGCCGAAUUGAGAGGUUGAUCGGCCACAUUGGGACUGAGACACGGCCCAAACUCCUACGGGAGGCAGCAGUAGGGAAUCUUCCACAAUGGGCGAAAGCCUGAUGGAGCAACGCCGCGUGGGUGAAGAAGGUCUUCGGAUCGUAAAACCCUGUUGUUAGAGAAGAAAGUGCGUGAGAGUAACUGUUCACGUUUCGACGGUAUCUAACCAGAAAGCCACGGCUAACUACGU